AGUCGAACGGCAGCACGGAGCUUGCUCUGGUGGCGAGUGGCGAACGGGUGAGUAAUAUAUCGGAACGUACCCUGGAGUGGGGGAUAACGUAGCGAAAGUUACGCUAAUACCGCAUACGAUCUAAGGAUGAAAGUGGGGGCUCGCAAGACCUCAUGCUCCUGGAGCGGCCGAUAUCUGAUUAGCUAGUUGGUAGGGUAAAAGCCUACCAAGGCAUCGAUCAGUAGCUGGUCUGAGAGGACGACCAGCCACACUGGAACUGAGACACGGUCCAGACUCCUACGGGAGGCAGCAGUGGGGAAUUUUGGACAAUGGGCGCAAGCCUGAUCCAGCAAUGCCGCGUGAGUGAAGAAGGCCUUCGGGUUGUAAAGCUCUUUUGUCAGGGAAGAAAAGGCUGUGGCUAAUAUCUACGGCUCAUGACGGUACCUGAAGAAUAAGCACCGGCUAACUACGUGCCAGCAGCCGCGGUAAUACGUAGGGUGCAAGCGUUAAUCGGAAUUACUGGGCGUAAAGCGUGCGCAGGCGGUUUUGUAAGACUGUCGUGAAAUCCCCGGGCUCAACCUGGGAAUGGCGAUGGUGACUGCAAGGCUAGAGUUUGGCAGAGGGGGGUAGAAUUCCACGUGUAGCAGUGAAAUGCGUAGAUAUGUGGAGGAACACCGAUGGCGAAGGCAGCCCCCUGGGUCAAAACUGACGCUCAUGCACGAAAGCGUGGGGAGCAAACAGGAUUAGAUACCCUGGUAGUCCACGCCCUAAACGAUGUCUACUAGUUGUCGGGUCUUAAUUGACUUGGUAACGCAGCUAACGCGUGAAGUAG
Molecule: ribosomal RNA, 811 nt
Filed under: uncultured bacterium
Lineage: Bacteria
Description: bacterial SSU rRNA
Rfam family: Bacterial small subunit ribosomal RNA
Source: RNAcentral